AUUCCUAAACCCCGGGUCUGUGUUCGGCCUGGUUGGGGCAUAACAGUUUCUGGAGCAAGCCAGGCCAGAGCAUGAAAGGAGGUGUGCCCCAAAUAUCUACCUGAUAGACAGCUCCAGCCACCAGGGCAUGAGCUCUGUACCCCUCCUCUCCUACUGGGUGCAAGGGUGAACUUCAUUUGUUCCCAGAAGAAGUAGCUGGACAUAGAAGCCUGUCACAUCAUCAUGGGCGAUGACGAGGCAUCCAUCCUGCUUCAAGUCCACAUGAGAAAAGGUCCACAACCAAGAAGGAGAGGAGCAAAAUUCCCCUGAAGAGGAGGUUAGGAGCGAAUGGUGCAUGUGUACCCCGAGAAGACGACCCUAUCUUCCUCAUGGGUUCCAGCUUGCUCCAAGCUGCAGCAGGAACCCACACUGAACUAGGAGGAGUUAGUGAGAACUCAUUUGCUUGACUAGCACAUCUUCCUCUAUGGGGUCCAGAUGAUGAGAUAAUGAGACAGCCCAGACAGAAGACCCUGGUCUGAGAAGAAGGUGUGCUGAGCCUGCCAUUGCUUGGACUCCCCUCAUCUUCAUUUUUCCAUCUCAAUGUACAGGUUCCUUUUCUCAGACUACAUUGACAGAAACACCCUCCUCCUCUGUGCCUCUUGGAUCAACAGCCAGACUCACCUGCGCCCUGAGGAGUGUAAACGGCAUUGGCAAUAACAUUUACUUGUCCAGCAGAUGGAGGGGAGA
Long non-coding RNA from Chionomys nivalis (European snow vole), 726 nucleotides. RefSeq lists it as uncharacterized. The record is from RefSeq and is a predicted model, not a curated record. The transcript is spliced from 4 exons. NCBI's taxonomy places the organism in Eukaryota, Metazoa, Chordata, Mammalia, Rodentia, Cricetidae.